Molecule: ribosomal RNA, 795 nt
Filed under: uncultured archaeon
Lineage: Archaea
Description: bacterial SSU rRNA
Rfam family: Archaeal small subunit ribosomal RNA
Source: RNAcentral
ACGGCUCAGUAACACGUGGAUAACCUGCCCUUGGGUCCGGCAUAACCCCGGGAAACUGGGGAUAAUUCCGGAUAACGCACAUAAGCUGGAAUGCUUUAUGCGUGAAAUGGAUUCGUCUGCCCAAGGAUGGGUCUGCGGCCUAUCAGGUAGUAGUGGGUGUAAUGUACCUACUAGCCGACGACGGGUACGGGUUGUGAGAGCAAGAGCCCGGAGAUGGAUUCUGAGACAUGAAUCCAGGCCCUACGGGGCGCAGCAGGCGCGAAAACUUUACAAUGCGGGAAACCGUGAUAAGGGGACACCGAGUGCCAGCAUCAUAUGCUGGCUGUCCGGGUGUGUAAAAUACACCUGUUAGCAAGGGCCGGGCAAGACCGGUGCCAGCCGCCGCGGUAACACCGGCGGCCCGAGUGUGAUCGUGAUUAUUGGGUCUAAAGGGUCCGUAGCCGGUUUGGUCAGUCCUCCGGGAAAUCUGAUAGCUCAACUAUUAGGCUUUCGGGGGAUACUGCCAGACUUGGAACCGGGAGAGGUAAGAGGUACUACAGGGGUAGGAGUGAAAUCUUGUAAUCCCUGUGGGACCACCUGUGGCGAAGGCGUCUUACCAGAACGGGUUCGACGGUGAGGGACGAAAGCUGGGGGCACGAACCGGAUUAGAUACCCGGGUAGUCCCAGCCGUAAACGAUGCUCGCUAGGUGUCAGGCAUGGCGCGACCGUGUCUGGUGCCGCAGGGAAGCCGUGAAGCGAGCCACCUGGGAAGUACGGCCGCAAGGCUGAAACUUAAAGGAAUUGGCGGGGGAGCAC